Molecule: long non-coding RNA, 3915 nt
Organism: Nomascus leucogenys (northern white-cheeked gibbon)
Lineage: Eukaryota; Metazoa; Chordata; Mammalia; Primates; Hylobatidae
Exons: 3
Source: RefSeq, a predicted model, not a curated record
GGACAAGGCUGGUCUGGGGCAAUGGUGCUUCCUACCACUGUCCUGGUGCAGGUGUCGUGGGUGAAAAUCUGACCAUCCAUGUCCACCGGAGGGACUCUCCUGGCUUCUGGCAUCCUCUGUUUUCAUGUGGCCUGUUUUGCAGGAGGGCAGCUGAGACCUGCAGAACCUGUAUGUGGCUUUUGCCUACACGGCAGCCUCUUUUUGAGGUUUUGGGUUAAAACUUUUUUUGUGUGCAGAGCUGGUGCCAGGCAGAACUGGGAUGAAGAUGCUACCUCAAAUGUGGGUCUGUUUAUUUAUCUCAAGUUUCUACCAUCCUGCCAAGGGGUGCCCCUCAAAACAGGCACACACACACAGCCGCUGGAUUCUCCAGGGGCCUCUGAAGUCCAGCUGUCCACUGACUUGUUGCUCUUCUUUUUCUCUGUUACGUACAUGAGGAGCACAUCGUAACUGUGCAAUAAGUGUCUAUUGGUGAUGGAGAAAGAACCCAGAAGCUUCACGCAUGCCCAUUGCCACAUGAGAUAUGUUUGGGGAGAAAGGUGAGGAUGAAGAAGAGUGAGAGAAGAUGUCUGACUUCAUUUACUGUUCUAGAAGCUACAUGACAGUAAAAGAUGGAUCCUGCCCAGGUGCUUGGGACCAGAAAAACAGUCCUUUGUAAAGCCCGGUCUUCCGCUGCUGCCCCCACCCCGAACUGCCCUGACUUUGAGAUGUCCUGUGGUCUAACAAUGGGAUCUUCUGAAAAGCCGUGUCCAUAAUUGAGCCUGAGCGCAAGGGACAAUCUGGUCCACAGAGCUGGCGGUGAGAUUCUCCCCACUCUCUGAGUCCGCUCGGGGGGGUCCAUGGCUUCCAGGCACCAUUUUCCUCUUUUGUUGUCAGGGUUCUGCUAAUGAGCAGCCUACUUAGCCCAUCUCUGCCCAGAUGUGGCCUUAAGGGCUCCCCGAGAUGGGGCCCGGCCUCAUGAAUAACUCACAGCGACCCGGGGCGCCGAGUCCGUUCCUGCGGCUGAGCAAGAACUUGGAGCUGCUGAAGGGGCAUUAAUCCUCAUUUUAUGUGGGGAAAACAGCGAGGAGAAAAGGCAUGCUUGCAAUUUAAUGUAACUAAAUGUCAUUCUGCACCCCCUGUAUCGCCGCUCAAUUGAAAGCAACGGGGAUUGGGGCUGAGGGGUAAGACGGCGGUUGCAUAACCUGAUUCAUAACCCUCAGCGCCUAUUUAUCAUAAAAUCAUUUACGGCUCCAUAAAACGUGUUAAUUUGGGUGGCGGUGAUGUAUGUCUUUGAUUUAGGAGCUGACAUUUCUGCCCAGUGGCUGCUCGGCAUGGGCUCUGUAGCCCUAAGAAGGGACAAGGAGAAGUAAUCACACGGCGGCAGCGGGGAGGCAGGCUUGUUUAUGGUGACAUGUUUGGGCUGGCUGGUCUCUCCUCGGGGAAGCCUCCAGCCAGGAGGGAGGGAAGAGGAGGUCUGGGGCAGGUCUGGGGCAUGUGGAGCCUUGUAGGGGGUGAAUUAGAGGGAACCCUAUCUGAAGGCUGGGGGCUGUCCCAGAAUUCUGCCGUUUAUUUAAUAAAUUCUUAGUGUGAUUUCCCUCAGAGGAAAUUGGCCGCUUCAUGAGGGUCUGUUACCCUGGGUGCAUUAUUUAUUGAGCACCUACUGUGUCCAGGAUUGUGUGAUGUACUGGUGUAGGAAGUCGUGUGCAAGACAGAUGAGGGUCCCGCCUGCAGAGUCCUCCCCCAGCCUUGGGCUCCGGCCUUAUGAUUCCUGGACGUCUCAAGGGCAGAUUCGAGGAGAAGGGCACAGGAGGAGUCUGCAGCCCCCGAUCCCACCCUCUUGCCAAUGCCCUUGGGUAAUCAGCCUCCUCACUCUUAAGCAGGGAAGGCACCUGGCCGACAGCCACAGGACAUGCUUAUGCAUGGACGAGUUGCCAGGAAGAAUGGACUUGGAAGUGGAAGUUUGGGCAUCCCGGGGUGGGCGGUGGUGCCAGAGCAUCACAGCAGGGCCUUCCAUCUCCCACCAGCAGGAAAUCUGUCUCCAAAAAUGAGCUCUGCUCCCCAUCCCCAGAGCAUCCUCCUGGCCCACUCCUUCCCUGGCUCUCCUUCCUGAUCACGGGCUUGUUUUUAUGAAUUUGAAAGGUAAAAAGCCAAUGCUCCAUGGAACUUCAUGUUUUCUCCACCCCCAUAGUUUAUUAAAAAAAGAAACACCCAGCAAAUCAUUUUUAUGAGCAAUUAAGUACCCUCUAGUGCAUAUAUGGUGGGCUCAGCUGACAAAUGGAUUGACGACCCAGGCUGGAGGCUGAGCUGGUCUCCGCCUGUUCUGCCCCCACCCCCACCUGAUCCCUUACUGCUCCCCUUGGCGGCGGAGGUAAGUGUUUCCAUUCGUCAGUCUCAGGAGGAACGAUGGUUUAUGUUCUGGGCAUGAGCGCUUUUAUUUGCCAUUAUUUUCUCUUCUCCAUGAGAACUGUUGGUUCAUAACUUCUGUUAUUGCAGAAUAUUAUUUACAGAUCUCAACGUAAGGGAAGCCAGCUGGGGGAAUAUUUGUUUGCACAGCUCCCCUUCCCCCAGACUCCCUCUCAAAUCUCUAAAUAAACUUUUCUAUUGAUUCUGGAGGGAAACAUCCAUCAGGCGUUGUCAUGAGAGCGAGAUGGAGAAGCCGAUUUCAUUCCUGUUUUUGGAACAUUUACUCUUCAUUUCGUUGCCCUGAGGAUGAAGCAUUCUCAUAGAUGGCCCCAAACACUUCCAGGAAAGACCCACUUGAGAGGACCAAGGAGCUUUCUCUCCAGACAGGUGACUCUAGAGCCUAAUUCUUUGCCACCCCAGUGGGUUUCCAGAUUUGUCCAGAGAUUGCGACAUUAUUCAAAUGAUGUUUAUUUGAUGGAUUCCUUUGCAAAGUGCUGUCUGCCAAGGUAAUGCAGAAAUCAUCCUUUUAAACCCAAUAUCAAAGCUGGUGUUCUGACAGCAUUUUCCCUGAUAUUUAAACGCAUUUAUACAAAGAGUCUUACAAGGGCCCAAAUUUAAGUCAUCCAUGUGAUAAAUCACCUUUGCUUAAAAGAAUAGGGAUAGGCGAUUGGGACUUAUCCCUGAAUAUCCGAGAUCUGUGGCUGCGGUAGUCCUAUAACACUCUGGUUGUAUGAAAUCAAUCACCAAUAGGGAAUUGUAGCUCCAAAGCCUGCUGACAAAUGUUUCCUUUUUAAUCUAAAAUACUCCUUUGUAGCAACCACAAUUAGUAACUGGAACCACCAAUUGCGUCCUCAAUGUGGAAAAGAGGGACUGGCACAGCGUGGAAGCUCGCAGUUCGUGAGCUCCGGCCCCAGGGUUUGUCUGUCCUUCCUCUGCCUUCUCAUCUUCACCAAGAUGGGAUGCUGUGGGUAGAUGGCCACAGUGGACAUCGUCCAGUUGGUCCUAACCAGUCAGUUCCUAUCUUGAAUUCUGUUUUGGGAAGUGAGAUGAGGACAUAGAAGGGGUCACAUCAUGUUGUGACCAACUGAACUGCUGCUGAGGAUUGCAGCGUGUCCUGGUCCACACCAAGAGAUACUCAUGGAGAGUCUUCUCUGAGUCUCAGCAUCCCCCAGGCAUCAAGCAUGGCCCCUGCCUUGCAAUCCCCAAGGACGCACUGGUCAUUCCUCAAAUGCUCAUUGAAAGGACGGAAAAUGAAUAAAUGGCUUCUUCAUCCCCAAAGUAUUAAGGUGGCUGCUCCCUUCCUGCGUUCCCUUCCUAAAGACAGAGGUGGACAAAGACUCAGUGUCCUCCGUGGGGGCUUUUAUGUGGGUCCAUGGACAUUAUUUGCAACCAGUACUUACAAACAUCAAAGUGGGUGGGUGCUGUAGUUUCAAGGUGUCCCUCAAAGUUCAUGUGUUUGAAACUCAAUUCCCAAUGCAACAGCAUUGAGAGGUGGGACCUUUAAGAGAUGAUUAGGCCAUGAGGGCUCUAGCU